Oncorhynchus keta (chum salmon) is the source of this 211-nucleotide long non-coding RNA. RefSeq lists it as uncharacterized. The record is from RefSeq and is a predicted model, not a curated record. The transcript has 3 exons. Lineage: Eukaryota; Metazoa; Chordata; Actinopteri; Salmoniformes; Salmonidae.
GGCGUAUUCACCAGUGUUUCUCCAUCUUCAGGCGUAUUCACCAGUGUUUCUCCAUCUUCAGGCGUAUUCACCAGUGUUUCUCCAUCUUCAGGCGUAUUCACCAGUGUUUCUCCAUCUUCAGGCGUAUUCACCAGUGUUUCUCCAUCUUCAGGCGUAUUCACCAGUGUUUCUCCAUCUUCAGGCGUAUUCACCAGUGUUUCUCCAUCUUCAG